GACGAACGCUGGCGGCGUGCCUAAUACAUGCAAGUAGAACGCUGAAGGAGGAGCUUGCUUCUCUGGAUGAGUUGCGAACGGGUGAGUAACGCGUAGGUAACCUGCCUGGUAGCGGGGGAUAACUAUUGGAAACGAUAGCUAAUACCGCAUAAUAGUAGAUGUUGCAUGACAUUUGCUUAAAAGGUGCAAUUGCAUCACUACCAGAUGGACCUGCGUUGUAUUAGCUAGUUGGUGGGGUAACGGCUCACCAAGGCGACGAUACAUAGCCGACCUGAGAGGGUGAUCGGCCACACUGGGACUGGGACACGGCCCAGACUCCUACGGGAGGCAGCAGUAGGGAAUCUUCGGCAAUGGACGGAAGUCUGACCGAGCAACGCCGCGUGAGUGAAGAAGGGUUUCGGAUCGUAAAGCUCUGUUGUAAGAGAAGAACGAGUGUGAGAGUGGAAAGUUCACACUGUGACGGUAUCUUACCAGAAAGGGACGGCUAACUACGUG
This 495-nucleotide ribosomal RNA is filed under the name uncultured bacterium. RNAcentral's name for it is "partial 16S ribosomal RNA". It matches the Rfam family "Bacterial small subunit ribosomal RNA", at positions 28 to 507 of the family's 1533-position model. The record is from RNAcentral.